CACACCGCCCGUCAGCCAUGGAAGUCGGUAGCACCCGAAGUCGCUGGUCUAACCGCAAGGAAGAAGGCGCCUAAGGUGAGAUCGAUGACUGGGGCG
This 96-nucleotide ribosomal RNA is filed under the name uncultured bacterium. Its description in RNAcentral is "partial 16S ribosomal RNA". It matches the Rfam family "Bacterial small subunit ribosomal RNA", at positions 1386 to 1482 of the family's 1533-position model. The record is from RNAcentral.